UGAAUGCGAUGGAAAUUUAGUUAUGUCU
RNAcentral lists this small RNA (28 nucleotides) under Bombyx mori (domestic silkworm). RNAcentral describes it as "ovarian small RNA-31173". The record is from RNAcentral. Lineage: Eukaryota; Metazoa; Arthropoda; Insecta; Lepidoptera; Bombycidae.